RNAcentral lists this ribosomal RNA (460 nucleotides) under uncultured bacterium. RNAcentral's name for it is "partial 16S ribosomal RNA". It matches the Rfam family "Bacterial small subunit ribosomal RNA", at positions 338 to 795 of the family's 1533-position model. The record is from RNAcentral.
CCUACGGGGCGCAGCAGUGAGGAAUAUUGGUCAAUGGACGAGAGUCUGAACCAGCCAAGUAGCGUGAAGGAUGACUGCCCUAUGGGUUGUAAACUUCUUUUAUAUGGGAAUAAAAUGUUCCACGUGUGGGAUUUUGUAUGUACCAUAUGAAUAAGGAUCGGCUAACUCCGUGCCAGCAGCCGCGGUAAUACGGAGGAUCCGAGCGUUAUCCGGAUUUAUUGGGUUUAAAGGGAGCGUAGGUGGAUUGUUAAGUCAGUUGUGAAAGUUUGCGGCUCAACCGUAAAAUUGCAGUUGAAACGGGCAGUCUUGAGUACAGUAGAGGUGGGCGGAAUUCGUGGUGUAGCGGUGAAAUGCUUAGAUAUCACGAAGAACUCCGAUUGCGAAGGCAGUUCACUGGACUGCAACUGACACUGAGGCUCGAAAGUGUGGGUAUCAAACAGGAUUAGAUACCCGGGUAGUC